Molecule: ribosomal RNA, 293 nt
Filed under: uncultured bacterium
Lineage: Bacteria
Description: partial 16S ribosomal RNA
Rfam family: Bacterial small subunit ribosomal RNA
Source: RNAcentral
AGAGUUUGAUCCUGGCUCAGGACGAACGCUGGCGGCGCGCCUAACACAUGCAAGUCGAACGGAGAUACGGAGGAGCUUGCUCCACUGUAUCUGAGUGGCGGACGGGUGAGUAACGCGUGAGUAACCUGCCUCAAAGAGGGGGAUAACGUCUGGAAACGGACGCUAAUACCGCAUAAUAUAUUGUUGUGGCAUCACGGCGAUAUCAAAGGAGGAAUCCGCUUUGAGAUGGACUCGCGUCCAAUUAGCUAGUUGGUGAGGUAACGGCCCGCCAAGGCGACGAUUGGUAGCCGCGG